CGGACGGGUGAGUAACGCGUGAGAACCUGCCUUCUGGACGGGGACAACAGUGGGAAACUGCUGCUAAUACCCGAUGUGCCGAGAGGUGAAAAGAGAUUCGCCGGAAGAGGGGCUCGCGUCUGAUUAGCUAGUUGGAGAGGUAAAGGCUCACCAAGGCGACGAUCAGUAGCUGGUCUGAGAGGAUGAGCAGCCACACUGGGACUGAGACACGGCCCAGACUCCUACGGGAGGCAGCAGUGGGGAAUUUUCCGCAAUGGGCGAAAGCCUGACGGAGCAAUACCGCGUGAGGGAAGAAGGUCUAUUGAUUGUAAACCUCUUUUCUCAGGGAAGAAGACAUGACGGUACCUGAGGAAUAAGCAUCGGCUAACUCCGUGCCAGCAGCCGCGGUAAUACGGAGGAUGCAAGCGUUAUCCGGAAUUAUUGGGCGUAAAGCGUCCGCAGGUGGCUCGGCAAGUCUGCAGUCAAAGACUGGAGCUUAACUCCAGCAAGGCGGUGGAAACUGAAGAGCUAGAGACCGGUAGGGGUAGAGGGAAUUCCCAGUGGUAGGCGGUUGAAAUGCGUAGAGAUUGGGAAAGAAACACCAGUGGCGAAAGCGCUUCUACUGGGCCCGGUACUGACACUCAGGGACGAAAGCUAGGGGAGCGAAAGGGAUUAGAUACCCCUGUAGUCCUAGCCGUAAACGAUGGAUACUAGGGCGUAGCUUGUAUCGACCAAGCUGUGCCGUAGCUAACGCGUUAAGUAUCCCGCCUGGGGAGUACGCCCGCAAGGGUGAAACUCAAAGGAAUUGACGGGGGCCCGCACAAGCGGUGGAGUAUGUGGUUUAAUUCGAUGCAACGCGAAGAACCUUACCAGGACUUGACAUUUUGGGAAUCCUGCCGAAAGGUGGGAGUGCCUUCGGGAGCCUAAAAACAGGUGGUGCAUGGCUGUCGUCAGCUCGUGUCGUGAGAUGUUGGGUUAAGUCCCGCAACGAGCGCAACCCUCGUCUUUAGUUGCCAGCAGGUAGAGCUGGGCACUCUAGAGAGACUGCCGGUGAUAAGCCGGAGGAAGGUGGGGAUGACGUCAAGUCAGCAUGCCCCUUACGUCCUGGGCGACACACGUACUACAAUGGGAGGGACAAAGGGCAGCGAAACCGCGAGGUGGAGCGAAUCCCAGCAAACCCUGCCUCAGUUCAGAUUGCAGGCUGCAACUCGCCUGCAUGAAGGAGGAAUCGCUAGUAAUUGCA
RNAcentral lists this ribosomal RNA (1222 nucleotides) under Cyanothece sp. 2.6. RNAcentral's name for it is "partial 16S ribosomal RNA". It matches the Rfam family "Bacterial small subunit ribosomal RNA", at positions 99 to 1346 of the family's 1533-position model. Lineage: Bacteria; Bacillati; Cyanobacteriota; Cyanophyceae; Gomontiellales; Cyanothecaceae. The record is from RNAcentral.